Molecule: transfer RNA, 86 nt
Filed under: Candidatus Saccharimonadota bacterium
Lineage: Bacteria; Candidatus Saccharimonadota
Also listed under: 1 other name
Description: tRNA-Leu
Rfam family: tRNA
About the family: Transfer RNA (tRNA) molecules are approximately 80 nucleotides in length.
Source: RNAcentral
GCCGUGGUGGCGGAAUUGGUAUACGCGCACGACUCAAAAUCGUGUUCCUUUCAGGAUUGAGGGUUCAAGUCCCUCCCGCGGCACCA